GUCGAUUUUGUGUGUGUUAUGGUUGGUUCUGGAAUAUUACUUUUAUCAGUUUGUCUCUUUGUAACAAUAUUCAGAUGCAGAACUGUUGUUGAUGUUGAAAUUGAAGAUGCGACGACACGAUGUAACAAAACCGAGGGAAAAUCUACAGCUUUCUCAAACACUUGUUGAAAGUUGACAAGGCAGUAUACUACUUCAUCAAUAGGAGAAAUUCGUCUCAGUAAGAUAGAAGCCUAUCGAGUCUGACCAGCAAAGCAACUUUCCCCAACACUGAUUGAAAGUUAGCAAGACAGUACAUCAUUUCAUCAAAAGAAUUGCUUCGUCAUUUGCCUGGUAUUCAUAACUGAUUGAGAUAGACGCCUAUCGAGUCUGGUCAGAAAAGCAACCUACUAAGAGACUGCUUGAACGUUAGAAAGACAGUACAUCGAUUUCAUCAAACGAAACUCGUCGUGGUCAUAUGUCUGAUAUUCAUCACUGAUCAAGAUGAGAGCUUAUCGAGUCUGGCCAGCAGAGCAAUUUUCUAAGACACUGCUUGAAAGUUAGAAAGACAGUACAUCAAUUCAUCAAAAGAAAUGCCUCGUCAUUUGUCUGGUAUUCAUCACUGAGCAAAAUGAAAGCCUAUCGAAUCUGGCCAGUAUGCAAAGCAACCUACUAAGAGACUGCUUGAACUUUAGAAAGACAGUACAUCGAUUUCAUCAAACGAAACUCGUCGUGGUCAUUU
This is a non-coding RNA of Styela clava, 718 nucleotides long. Lineage: Eukaryota; Metazoa; Chordata; Ascidiacea; Stolidobranchia; Styelidae. The record is from RefSeq and is a predicted model, not a curated record.